Molecule: non-coding RNA, 1477 nt
Organism: Triticum urartu
Lineage: Eukaryota; Viridiplantae; Streptophyta; Magnoliopsida; Poales; Poaceae
Source: RefSeq, a predicted model, not a curated record
CUGCUGCCCCACAGAAGGACGUGAGCGCGGGGUGGCGGCGUCCUUUGAAAUCCUUUAACUGGGUUACUGAGAUUUAGUAUUUCUGAUCUUCUUCAGUCUUUCGAAUAAUCGAUUGCUGAGAUCUUGAUCUUGAUGUUGCAUUUUUCUUGUUUUAUUUAAGAUUGGUUUUAGAUGUAGAGUUGGGUUCAUUUUGGAUGUGAAUGUUGGUUUUUAGAUUACUCAAUGGUUCAUUGCAGAAUGGUUUUGGUUGUUGGUGCAGGGAAGCUUUGCAUCAAUGUUAGACCCCCAUUCAAGGUCAUGUUCAUCCCGGAAGAGCGGAGGCAGAUUGUGUUAUUUGCACAAGGUUUCCCAAUCUCUCCUGAAGCUUAUCCUUUUUGAUAGAAUCGAUCAAUUAGCCCGUCUCAAGGUCUUCCCAGAUAUGCGGCCUUGUUGGAACAAAUGGAGUUGGAAAAUCCACAUCACUUAAAGUCUUAGCUGGCAAGCUGAAACCUCAUAAUCCGGCAAGAGAUCAUCACAUACUUCUAGGGUUCUGAGCUUCAGAAUUAUUUUACAUGUAUAUUGGAGGACCUGAAGAGCUGUUUAAUCCAGCAAUGAAACGCAGGUCAUCGCCCAUUCUACUCGCAACAUCGGCACAAACUGCCGCUGCUGACCAUCAUUAUUCGGUCGUAAUCCCGGCGUCCUCCUCCUGUUGUGCCCUUGGCUUAUUGCCUCGAGGUGCCACCCAAAUGCGCGUGGCUGCAAAAGUGUUUCAUCAUGGUCAGGCGCAGGUAGAUGACAACAAGCUGCAGAACAAUGAGCAGCUCGACAGAGGAGUACCGACGCAACGCUCGCCAUAGGGAAUUGGGAAGGUACAGAGUUGGGCUCCCCUGAUCACUAUAUUUAUUGGGAAGCUUGGUACAAGACAAUCUUAGUUUGGGCUAUGAUGCAACAAUAGGUUUUGAUUGCCAAAGCUGGACUUGACUGAGCAGAUACAUUGACGAUGUUCAUCAAGGGGUUGUUGGAUAUCUUGACCGGUCUGCAGUACUUGGAAGAAAACUUCCUAGGUAACGUUCAGGAGAUAAAUGAUUUUAAUGUUACAUAGCACACUCCUCUCUGCAUGUUCCAUGCCAAGUGGAGCAAACCCUGUUUUACUGCUUUUGUGUGACUGUAGUUUGGAACAAGAUUCCUUCAGUGGGUUCUACAUUUUAAGUUUAAUAUGAGAAAUGCUGUCAAAUUAUCAAUAUGCACUUAUUAUUGUAACUCAAUGUGAAUCGAGUUCUUUGUAUUUCUUUGUGCUUGUUACUGGGUAUUAUUUGUUAAGACCACUCUAAGCAGAGAGAAUCAAAACAAAGGAUGGUAAGCUGAAACUUACUGCAUUUGUUUUUGAAAAACUACCAUUGUUUCCAGAACACACAUAAACUAUAGCUUUUUAGUAGCAACAUCCAUUCUUAUUCUCAGAUUCUCAAAUGCAGUGGUGCAUGAAAAUAGAUUCCUAGCC